CCUACGGGAGGCAGCAGUGAGGAAUAUUGGUCAAUGGCCGGGAGGCUGAACCAGCCAAGUCGCGUGAGGGAUGACGGCCCUAAGGGUUGUAAACCUCUUUUGUCAGGGAGCAAGGUGCAGGUCGGGACCUGCUGUGAGUGUACCUGAAGAAAAAGCAUCGGCUAACUCCGUGCCAGCAGCCGCGGUAAUACGGAGGAUGCAAGCGUUUUCCGGAUUUAUUGGGGUUAAGGGGUGCGUAGGGUGUGAGGUAAGUCAGCGGUGAAAUGCCCCCGCUCAACGGGGUGCAGGGCCAUUGAGACUGCCAUGCUGGAAUGCGGAUGACGUAGGAGGAAUGCGUGGUGUAGCGGUGAAAUGCAUAGAUAGCACACAGAACACCGAUUGCGAAGGCAUCUCACGAAACCGCGAUUGACGCUGAGGCACGAAAGCGUGGGUAUCAAACAGGAUUAGAUACCCUAGUAGUC
This 461-nucleotide ribosomal RNA is filed under the name uncultured bacterium. RNAcentral describes it as "partial 16S ribosomal RNA". It matches the Rfam family "Bacterial small subunit ribosomal RNA", at positions 338 to 795 of the family's 1533-position model. The record is from RNAcentral.